CGGUGAAUACGUUCCCGGACCUUGCACACACCGCCCGUCAAGCCAUGGAAGCCAGGUGUACCUAAAGUCGGUAACCGUAAGGAGCCGCCUAGGGUAAAACUGGUGACUGGGGCU
RNAcentral lists this ribosomal RNA (114 nucleotides) under uncultured bacterium. RNAcentral's name for it is "partial 16S ribosomal RNA". It matches the Rfam family "Bacterial small subunit ribosomal RNA", at positions 1360 to 1482 of the family's 1533-position model. The record is from RNAcentral.